AUUGAACGCUGGCGGCAUGCUCUACACAUGCAAGUCGAACGGUAACAGGCCGCAAGGUGCUGACGAGUGGCGAACGGGUGCGUAAUGCAUCGGAACGUGCCCAGUCGUGGGGGAUAACUACUCGAAAGAGUAGCUAAUACCGCAUACGAUCUAUGGAUGAAAGCGGGGGACCGUAAGGCCUCGCGCGAUUGGAGCGGCCGAUGUCAGAUUAGGUAGUUGGUGGGGUAAAGGCUCACCAAGCCAACGAUCUGUAGCUGGUCUGAGAGGACGACCAGCCACACUGGGACUGAGACACGGCCCAGACUCCUACGGGAGGCAGCAGUGGGGAAUUUUGGACAAUGGGCGCAAGCCUGAUCCAGCAAUGCCGCGUGCAGGAAGAAGGCCUUCGGGUUGUAAACUGCUGUUGUACGGAACGAAACGGCUCUGGUUAAUACCCGGGGCUAAUGACGGUACCGUAAGAAUAAGCACCGGCUAACUACGUG
This 482-nucleotide ribosomal RNA is filed under the name uncultured bacterium. Its description in RNAcentral is "partial 16S ribosomal RNA". It matches the Rfam family "Bacterial small subunit ribosomal RNA", at positions 30 to 507 of the family's 1533-position model. The record is from RNAcentral.